AGCAGCCGCGGUAAUUCCAGCUCCAACAGUGUAUAUUAAAGUUGUUGCAGUUAAAAAGCUCGUAGUUGAAUUUCGGGGUUCUACCGUUGGUCGGGCUAUUGUCUGUACUGGCGUGUGGAAUUUCUACCUUCUGGGGAACCAUCAUGUUAUUAAUUUAGCGUGGUGGGAAACCAGGACCUUUACCUUGAAAAAUUAGAGUGUUCAAAGCAGGCUUACGUCUGAAUACAUUAGCAUGGAAUAAUAAAAUAGGACGGUGGUCCUGUUUUGUUGGUUUCUGAAUCACCGUAAUGAUUAAUAGGGAUAGUUGGGGGCAUUAGUAUUCAAUUGUCAGAGGUGAAAUUCUUGGAUUUAUUGAAGACUAACUACUGCGAAAGCAUUUGCCAAGGAUGUUUUCAUUAAUCAAGACGAAAGUUAGGGGAUCGAAGACGAUCAGAUACCGUCGUAGUCUUAACCAUAAACUAUGCCGACUAGGGAUCGGACGAUU
Molecule: ribosomal RNA, 484 nt
Filed under: uncultured Gigaspora
Lineage: Eukaryota; Fungi; Glomeromycota; Glomeromycetes; Diversisporales; Gigasporaceae
Description: SSU rRNA
Rfam family: Eukaryotic small subunit ribosomal RNA
Source: RNAcentral